This 213-nucleotide unclassified non-coding RNA is filed under the name plant metagenome. RNAcentral's name for it is "partial contains small subunit ribosomal RNA, internal transcribed spacer 1, and 5.8S ribosomal RNA". The record is from RNAcentral.
UUUCCGUAGGUGAACCUGCGGAAGGAUCAUUAAAAAUGAAGCCGGGAAAUCGGUCCUUCUCACCCUUGAUUAUCUCAAAUUGUUGCUUUGGUGGGCCGCGCAAGCACCGGCUUCGGCUGGAUCGUGCCCGCCAGAGGACCACAACUCUGUAUUAUAUGUCGUCUGAGUACUAUAAAAUAGUUAAAACUUUCAACAACGGAUCUCUUGGUUCUG